RNAcentral lists this long non-coding RNA (371 nucleotides) under Olea europaea subsp. europaea. It matches the Rfam family "Bacterial large subunit ribosomal RNA", at positions 390 to 771 of the family's 2925-position model. Lineage: Eukaryota; Viridiplantae; Streptophyta; Magnoliopsida; Lamiales; Oleaceae. The record is from RNAcentral.
UAUCGUUCUUCAUGCAUUCUUCGAUUUGCUUGCCAAACAACUCACGAUGGUCAAGGACCACCUUGCAAGGCUAAAUACUCCUGGGUGACCGAUAGCGAAGUAGUACCGUGAGGGAAGGGUGAAAAGAACCCCCAUCGGGGAGUGAAAUAGAAUAUGAAACCAUAAGCUCCCAAGCAGUGGGAGGAGCCAGGUCUCUGACCGCGUGCUUGUUGAAGAAUGAGUUGGCGACUCAUAGGCAGUGGCUUGGUUAAGGGAACCCACCGAACUGGAUCGUCUUCGCGCCGAGGAACGAUCCGUGAGUCGACAAGAGCUCGACGCAGAGUAUCGUCGACUUAGAAAUAGCGGGGAAGUUCUCACCAUCGAGAACGACA